RNAcentral lists this ribosomal RNA (687 nucleotides) under uncultured Psathyrella. RNAcentral describes it as "eukaryotic LSU rRNA". The stretch from base 289 to 442 matches the Rfam family "5.8S ribosomal RNA". Lineage: Eukaryota; Fungi; Basidiomycota; Agaricomycetes; Agaricales; Psathyrellaceae. The record is from RNAcentral.
GUCGUAACAAGGUUUCCGUAGGUGAACCUGCGGAAGGAUCAUUAAUGAAUAUCUAUGGCGUUGGUUGUAGCUGGCUUCUAGGAGCAUGUGCACACCCGUCAUUUUUAUCUUUCCACCUGUGCACUAAAUGUAGAUCUGGAUAACUCUCGCUCUCACGAGCGGAUGCAAGGACUGCUGUGUCGCAAGACCGGCUCUCCUUGAACUUCCAGGUCUAUGUAUCCCUUACACACCCCAAUUGAAUGAUGAAGAAUGUAGUCAAUGGGCUUCAAAGCCUAUAAAACAAAAUACAACUUUCAGCAACGGAUCUCUUGGCUCUCGCAUCGAUGAAGAACGCAGCGAAAUGCGAUAAGUAAUGUGAAUUGCAGAAUUCAGUGAAUCAUCGAAUCUUUGAACGCACCUUGCGCUCCUUGGUAUUCCGAGGAGCAUGCCUGUUUGAGUGUCAUUAAAUUCUCAACUUCACCAGUUUCUUAUGAGACUGUGUGAGGCUUGGAUGUGGGGGUUUGUGCAGGCUGCCUCAGCGCGGUCUGCUCCCCUGAAAUGCAUUAGCGAGUUACAACUGGGCUCCGUCUAUUGGUGUGAUAAUUAUCUACGCCGUGGAUUGGGCUUAGACUUGCUUCUAACCGUCUGCAAGGACAAUCUUUUGACAAUUUGACCUCAAAUCAGGUAGGACUACCCGCUGAACUUAAG